GUGGGGAAUAUUGGACAAUGGGCGAAAGCCUGAUCCAGCCAUGCCGCGUGUGUGAAGAAGGUCUUCGGAUUGUAAAGCACUUUAAGUUGGGAGGAGGGGCAGUAAGUUAAUACCUUGCUGUUUUGACGUUACCGACAGAAUAAGCACCGGCUAACUUCGUGCCAGCAGCCGCGGUAAUACGAAGGGUGCAAGCGUUAAUCGGAAUUACUGGGCGUAAAGCGCGCGUAGGUGGUUUUGUAAGUUGGAGGUGAAAUCCCCGGGCUCAACCUGGGAACUGCCUCCAAAACUGCAUGACUAGAGUACGGUAGAGGGUAGUGGAAUUUCCUGUGUAGCGGUGAAAUGCGUAGAUAUAGGAAGGAACACCAGUGGCGAAGGCGACUACCUGGACUGAUACUGACACUGAGGUGCGAAAGCGUGGGGAGCAAACAGGAUUAGAAACCCUAGUAGUCC
This 450-nucleotide ribosomal RNA is filed under the name uncultured bacterium. RNAcentral describes it as "partial 16S ribosomal RNA". It matches the Rfam family "Bacterial small subunit ribosomal RNA", at positions 354 to 796 of the family's 1533-position model. The record is from RNAcentral.